Molecule: long non-coding RNA, 414 nt
Organism: Peromyscus eremicus (cactus mouse)
Lineage: Eukaryota; Metazoa; Chordata; Mammalia; Rodentia; Cricetidae
Exons: 2
Source: RefSeq, a predicted model, not a curated record
CACCAAUAUACUUCAGAGAAGAUGAUGGGCAUUGAAGAAACUUCAUAUGGAGUUUGUUUUCUUUAUGGCAAAAGCUAGCCAUGUGGGCAAAAAAACUGUCCUUGCUUCAACUGCUGACAGUUACUGUCCAAACUGGACCAGCAGGAUGCAAAAAAGGUGACUGCUGAACUUUGCCAAGACAAGAUACCAGCCAAAAGCUUAAGUAUGCGUUUCCUGUUGUCCUGGGCUUUUCCUCUUUCUCUAGAUGUCCCCUCCUGCUUCCUACAGCAGCUUGCUGAUCUCCAUGCCUGAUUUAAAAAGCAUGACUUUCUCUGUUCUCAGUCUCCCAUCUCCUGGUGGCUGCCAGGAUUUUCAGCUUGCCUGCCCUGUUGUUUUUCACUCAAAAUCUAAUAAAAUGGUCCUGAAGCCAUCUUC